UUGGAGGGCAAGUCUGGUGCCAGCAGCCGCGGUAAUUCCAGCUCCAAUAGCGUAUAUUAAAGUUGUUGUGGUUAAAAAGCUCGUAGUUGAACCUUGGGCCUGGCUGGCCGGUCCGCCUCACCGCGUGUACUGGUCCGGCCGGGCCUUUCCCUCUGUGGAACCCCAUGCCCUUCACUGGGUGUGGCGGGGAAACAGGACUUUUACNGUGAAAAAAUUGAGUGCUCCAGGCAGGCCUAUGCUCGAAUACAUUAGCAUGGAAUAAUAGAAUAGGA
RNAcentral lists this ribosomal RNA (272 nucleotides) under uncultured Ascomycota. RNAcentral describes it as "partial 18S ribosomal RNA". It matches the Rfam family "Eukaryotic small subunit ribosomal RNA", at positions 548 to 827 of the family's 1831-position model. Lineage: Eukaryota; Fungi; Ascomycota. The record is from RNAcentral.